Molecule: ribosomal RNA, 515 nt
Filed under: uncultured bacterium
Lineage: Bacteria
Description: bacterial SSU rRNA
Rfam family: Bacterial small subunit ribosomal RNA
Source: RNAcentral
AGAGUUGAUCCUGGCUUAGGACGAACGCUGGCGGCGUGCCUAACACAUGCAAGUCGAACGAAGCAUUGGAGCCGAUCUCUUCGGGGUGACGCACCUUAUGACUUAGUGGCGGACGGGUGAGUAACACGUGAGCAACCUGCCUCUCAGAGUGGAAUAACAGUUGGAAACGGCUGCUAAUACCACAUAACGUUUUUUGUGCCGCAUGACACUUCAACCAAAGAUUUAUCGCUGAGAGAUGGGCUCGCGUCCGAUUAGGUAGAUGGUGGGGUAACGGCCUACCAUGCCGACGAUCGGUAGCCGGACUGAGAGGUUGAUCGGCCACAUUGGGACUGAGACACGGCCCAGACUCCUACGGGAGGCAGCAGUGGGGGAUAUUGCACAAUGGGCGCAAGCCUGAUGCAGCAACGCCGCGUGCGGGAAGACGGCCUUCGGGUUCGUAAACCGCUGUCCUUGGGGAAGAAACAAAUGACGGUACCCAAGAAGGAAGCCACGGCUAACUACGUGCCAGCAGCAGC